UCCCUGUGCUAUACAGUAGGACCUUGUUGUUGUUUAUGGAUUUUUUUAAAUAUUAUGAACAAGGCUAAGAUGACUAGACUUUCCUUAUACCCAUACUUCUGUGUCCAUGAUUAUUUUGUUAGGUUAUAAAUAUAUUCCUCAAAGUGAAAUGGCCAAAAUUGAAGUUUUUUUUUUUUUUUUUUUUUUUUUUGCUGUACGCAGGCCUCUCACUGUUGUGGCCUUUCCCGUUGCGGAGCACAGGCUCCGGACGCGCAGGCUCAGCGGCCAUGGCUCACGGGCCCAGCCGCUCCGCGGCAUGUGGGAUCUUCCCGGACCGGGGCAUGAACCCGUGUCCCCUGCAUCGGCAGGCAGACCCUCAACCACUGCGCCACCAGGGAAGCCCUGAAGUCAGUUUUUGAUUGAAGUGAAACGAUGAAUUUGGUUGAUGACAAGGCCGCCUAAGAACGGAAAGCUGAGAAAUCCAGCUCCUUCACUGAUUAGGAGGCAGCUUCUCCUUCAGGGUCCGUUCAUUCACUUGCAAAGGAGCCAGGCACCCUGCUUGGCACUGGAGACCCAGCGAUCAACAGAACAGACCCAGGGCUGCCCGGACGAGUGUCUAGGAGCCCACAUGUUCCUGGAGGAGGCAAACAUGAACAAGUAAACAAACACAGAAGAAAGAGCAUUGCGGGGCUUCCCUGGUGGCACAGUGGUUAAGAAUCCACUUGCCAGUGCAGGGGACAUGGGUUCGAGCCCUGGUCCGGGAAAAUCCCACAUGCCGCGGAGCAGCUAAGCCCGUGCGCCAUAACUGCUGAACCUGGGCUCUAGAGCCCAUGAGCCACAACUACUGAUUUCGUGCUCCGCAACAAGAGAAGCCACCGCAAUGAGAAGCCCGCGCACCGCAACGAAGGCCCAACGCAGCCAAAAAUAAAAUAAAUGAAUUUAUUUUUUAAAAAA
Long non-coding RNA from Lagenorhynchus albirostris (white-beaked dolphin), 933 nucleotides. RefSeq lists it as uncharacterized. The record is from RefSeq and is a predicted model, not a curated record. The transcript is spliced from 2 exons. Lineage: Eukaryota; Metazoa; Chordata; Mammalia; Artiodactyla; Delphinidae.